UACGUAGGGCGCAAGCGUUAUCCGGAAUUACUGGGCGUAAAGCGCACGUAGGCGGAUAUUUAAGUCAGGGGUGAAAUCCCAGAGCUCAACUCUGGAACUGCCUUGAUACUGGGUAUCUCGAGUAUGGAAGAGGUGAGUGGAAUUCCGAGUGUAGAGGUGAAAUUCGUAGAUAUUCGGAGGAACACCAGUGGCGAAGGCGGCUCACUGGUCCAUUACUGACGCUGAGGUGCGAAAGCGUGGGGAGCAAACAGG
Molecule: ribosomal RNA, 252 nt
Filed under: uncultured bacterium
Lineage: Bacteria
Description: partial 16S ribosomal RNA
Rfam family: Bacterial small subunit ribosomal RNA
Source: RNAcentral